GGCAACGUGGCUGAGUGGUUAAAGCGUACGACUAGAAAUACAUAUACAUCUACGGUAUAUCUAUAUAUCUUGCAAUCGUAUCCCUUCGGGGUCGUAGGUUCAAAUCCUGCCGUUGUCG
Molecule: non-coding RNA, 118 nt
Organism: Xylaria scruposa
Lineage: Eukaryota; Fungi; Ascomycota; Sordariomycetes; Xylariales; Xylariaceae
Source: the annotation of a GenBank genome assembly